AUUAUGAGGAAUCAUAAUGGUCAGAAUGGGAACAAACUGACCAAAGGGCUUACUGGAUGAAGCUAACCAGAUAGAGUGAGACCAGAGAGAAGAUGUGGCCCAGGAAGUCAUAACCUCCUGUUCCUGACUUGGACUUUCUCCUUUGUCCUGUGUCUGGAGACUUCUUGGAAGCUGAAGCACACAAAUAGCUACAGCAAACCUGAGGAAUGGACAUGAAUAGACUGGCUUUGGGGAACCUGCCAGCUUGGCUGUGUGGCCAAGAAUCCUGCUUUCUGUGAUGGAAACUAAUGAAUUGUGACCCAAUCCAUGAAAGUGUUAUCAACAGAAGCUCAUGGGAGCAUGAAGUCCUCUCUUGUGUGCAUGGUGGAUAUUCCUGUGGCUGGUGGCAGGCCAAUGCAGGAGAACCUGACAACAGGAAACCUUGAAAUGAGGAGACCCCAUUCCUUCGGUUCUAGAAGUAUGUUAAAAGAACAAGAGCAAGAGUCUGUUGGCUUUUUGCUUGGCACCGGUAUUCCUUUUGUGUCUCUUAAGCUUGGCAUCAUCGUCUAUGGAUCCGGAAACUCUGCAUGUUGGGUUUCUUCAGAGGUGUCUGUGGAUAAAGGCUACCCUCAGAAGACAGGGAUACUUGGAUCUCAAGAAACGAAAUAAAAUUUUAAAAUUUGACUCAUCUUUUUUGAGAAAACAAACUUAUAAAUCAUACAUUUAAAGAAGUAGAUGACAACAUUUAUAAUUGGCGUAAAUAAUAAUAAAAAGAACACUCAGGCUCCCACCAGCGGCAUUAAGUAACAAAACACUGCCAGUAUUUGACACCUGCGUGCCCUCCUUAAUCACAUCUCCUUCUCCCUGCCACCAAGAGGCAACAAUCCUGAAAUUUAUGGUAUUUGUUCUUUGUUUUUCUUUAUAGCUUUACUACCUAUUUAUGGAUUUCUGAUAAUAUAUUAAUUUUACCUGCUUUGGCCUUUGUAUAGGUGGUACUAUAUUAUACAUAUUCCUCUGUGAUGUGUUUUUGUGCAAUGUUAUGUUUUGUUUGUUUGUUUUUUGAGACGCUGUCUCGCUCUCUCGCCCAGGCUGGAGUGCAGUGGCGCAAUCUUGGCUCACUGCAAGCUCCGCCUCCUGGGCUCAAGUGAUUCUUCCGCCUCAGCCUCCCGAGUAGCUGGGACUACAGUCGCCUACCACCGCACCCGGCUAAUUUUGUUUUUGUAUUUUUAGUAGAGACGGAGUUUCACCGUGGUAGCCAGGAUGGUCUCCAUCUCCUGACUUCGUGAUCCACCGGCCUCCGUCUCCCAAAGUGCUGGAAUUACAGGCGUGAGCCACCGCACCUAGCCCCAAUGUUUUGUUUUUAAGAUUCAUCCAAGUUGCUGCUUGUAGGUAGCAACUAAUUUGUUUAUAUGGUAUUCUGCUAUAUGUUAACCCACUCUUGAUGGUCAUGUCUCUUUUUAAAUUGGAAAACAUGUAUCCCUUUCAAAAACAUUAAAAUAAAUACUAAAAGUCAAAACAAAACAAACAAAAAAAAACAGGAAAUAAGAUGCCUGUGACGAAUGCAUUGCUUGUGUCUGCAGACUAUUUAAAUGUCACGGUAUCGCUCCUUGGAACUCCCUGUUCUAAUAGGAAUAUAGAGCUUGGCUUAUCACAUUCCAUUUGAUUUGCUAUGACAUUUAUCUGUACCCUUUCUUGGUGGUUUGUUUUUUCAGAUUACCAGUUCCUUGCAUGUGAUUGAAGGGUUCUGGUUGCUUUAGAGGCAGCCCCGUCCCCUUGCCUUCACCCUGCCAGUUAAGAACAUUCAGGGCACUUUCGUACUAACAAGUCUCAGAUUUCCGUUUCAGGACAUUUGGGCAUAGGCCUUCAUACGAGAGUUUCCUCACAUACCUCAGGCUGUUGACAACAUGACUUGCCCUUUGCAAUCCACUUAUUCUGGACAUAAUGUAAGUGACAGUGAUAAUUCUAUGUUAUUCAUCUUCCUUGGUAGGCUUUUGUUCUUGAGUCUAUUUGUGGCUCAAUUUUGUAAAUGAAGAAAGCCAUUUUCUCUUUCAUGUCUUAAGCCUGGCUGAGAGAACAUUUCUCAGCUUCUGUUGACACAUCCAUUUAACUGUCCACCUAGGAAAGCUUGGAGAUCCUGAUACAGCAGCACAAAACAUCAGUGCACAGUCCCAUGAGAAAACCUCAACUGUUCAAGCCUCACUCUCUAAGACAGUUUUCAAGAGUAUUAACAACUAUCUCAUUCCUUCCUACAGAAAAGAAACAAGAAAAUUUUUCCAAGAGUGGUAAAACAUUCUACUUCUCCAACAUUUCUCUAAGUUUCUUUUCCUUUUUGUUGUGUAUUUCAGAGGCAGGUUUCAACUAUGAAUAAUGAGCAUAUGUUUGUCUCUUGAGAACAACCUGAGUUGCAAAGACUCCUUUUUAAGCUUCUCUACUUAAAGCAAUCAACUCUAUAAAUUAUACAUCUCUUACUUGAUAUGCAUUUUCUAAUAGGUAGUCUAAAGCCAUCCCAUAUGAAAACUCAUUUUCACACUAAAGGUGGAAAAAACCUAAAAGCCUUUCCUUUUUUUUCUUUUUUAUUGCCAAGAGGCAGAUAUUCUUCUUUUGAAAAGCCUGUUUAUUCCUGGUGGGAAGUUUUAUUUCUAUCUUCAGAAACAUCAUUUUAAAUUUGCGUAAUCAGUUCAGCAAACUGCUUCUUAUAGUGAUAAAUAAAUAUCAAAUUAAACUUGCAAUUAAAAUUUACUAAAAAUAUAGGUUGCUAUAAUUUUGUUGGUGAUAAAAGUACAGAAGUAGAAAUGAUUAAUGAUGAUUACUAAUUAUGCAGCUGUGUUCAGA
This is a long non-coding RNA of Rhinopithecus bieti (black snub-nosed monkey), 2811 nucleotides long. NCBI's taxonomy places the organism in Eukaryota, Metazoa, Chordata, Mammalia, Primates, Cercopithecidae. The record is from Ensembl.